RNAcentral lists this small RNA (1804 nucleotides) under uncultured proteobacterium EBAC40E09. RNAcentral's name for it is "bacterial LSU rRNA". It matches the Rfam family "Bacterial large subunit ribosomal RNA", at positions 1 to 1958 of the family's 2925-position model. Lineage: Bacteria; Pseudomonadati; Pseudomonadota. The record is from RNAcentral.
UGCAUAAAUCAAGCGUUUAAGGGCGUGUAGUGGAUGCCUUGGCACUGAAAGCCGAUGAAGGACGUGAUAUACUGCGAUAAGUUUCGGGGAGCUGUAUGUAAGUUUUGAUCCGAAAAUUUCCGAAUGGGGAAACCCACCACUUUAUGUGGUACUUUAAACUGAAUACAUAGGUUUAAAGAGACAACCUGGAGAACUGAAACAUCUAAGUAACCAGAGGAAAAGAAAUCAAUUGAGAUUCCGUUAGUAGUGGCGAGCGAACGCGGACUAGGCCAGUAGUUUUGUUAAAAAAAUUUGAAUAGUUUGGAAAUGCUAACCAUAGAGGGUGAUAGUCCCGUAUGAGUAAUGUUUAACAAAAUUCUUGAGUAAAGCGGGACACGUGAAAUCCUGCUCGAAUAUAGGGGGACCACCCUCUAAGCCUAAAUACUCUUCAGUGACCGAUAGUGAACUAGUACCGUGAGGGAAAGGUGAAAAGAACCCCUAUUAGGGGAGUGAAAUAGAACCUGAAACUGCAUGCCUACAAUCAGUCGAAGCUCUUUUUAGAGUGACGGCGUACCUUUUGUAUAAUGGGUCAGUGACUUAAUUUAUUAAGCAAGCUUAAGCCAUCUAGGUGUAGGCGUAACGAAAAGCAAGUCUUAAUAGGGCGAUUAGUUUAAUGAAUUAGACCCGAAAACGAAUGAGCUUACCAUGAGCAGGUUGAAAGUUGGGUAACACCAACCGGAGGACCGAACCAGUUGACGUUGAAAAGUCUUUGGAUGACUUGUGGUAAGGGGUGAAAGGCCAACCAAAUUCGUAGAUAGCUGGUUUUCCGCGAAAACUAUUUAGGUAGUGCGAUGAAUAAAUAGAUGCUUAGAGGUAGAGCACUAAAUGGGCUAGGGGGAAGAGAUUCUUACCAAACCUAAUAAAACUCCGAAUGCUAAGUAUUGUUCUUCAUCAGACAGACUGUGGGUGCUAAGGUCCAUGGUCGAGAGGGAAAGAGCCCAGACCACCAGAUAAGGUCCCCAAAUUAUGAUUAAGUGUGAAAGGAUGUGGAAAUUCCUUAACAGCCGGGAGGUUGGCUUAGAAGCAGCCAUCCUUUAAAGAUAGCGUAACAGCUCACCGGUCUAAUAGAGUUUCUGCGCCGAAGAUGUAACGGGGCUAAAAUCAUAUACCGAAUCUGUGGGUUUAUAAAACUUUCGAGUUUUAUAAGCGGUAGCGGAACGUUCUGUAAGCCUUUGAAGGGAUACCCGUGAGGGAUCCUGGAGGUAUCAGAAGUGCGAAUGCUGACAUAAGUAACGAUAAAAGAAGUGAAAAACUUCUUCGCCGAAAAUCCAAGGGUUUCUGCGCAAGGUUAAUCCGCGCAGAGUUAGUCGGCACCUAAGGCGAGGGCGAAAGCGUAGUCGAUGGAAAUAAGGUUAAUAUUCCUUAACCAGAUGGUAGUGACGGAUCUUGUAAGUUGUGUACUCUUAAUGGAUUGAGUAUGCCGCGAAAAGGUUCCAAGAAAUAGCUCCAUCAUUAGACCGUACCCUAAACCGACACAGGUGGAUUAAUAGAGUAUAUUUAGGCGCUUGAGAGAAUGAUGUUGAAGGAACUCGGCAAAAUGCUUCCGUAACUUCGGGAUAAGGAAGACCUGUUUUUAGGCAACUAGAGAUGGGUGGCACAAGCCAGGGAGAAGCGACUGUUUAUCAAAAACACAGGGCUCUGCUAACACGUAAGUGGAUGUAUAGGGUCUGACGCCUGCCCGGUGCUGGAAGGUUAAUGCGGUUGGUGCAAGCUAACUUCUGAAGCCCCAGUAAACGGCGGCCGUAACUAUAACGGUCCUAAGGUA